This 473-nucleotide ribosomal RNA is filed under the name Cryptosporidium parvum. RNAcentral describes it as "partial 18S ribosomal RNA". It matches the Rfam family "Eukaryotic small subunit ribosomal RNA", at positions 567 to 1064 of the family's 1831-position model. The record is from RNAcentral. Lineage: Eukaryota; Apicomplexa; Conoidasida; Eucoccidiorida; Cryptosporidiidae.
CCAGCAGCCGCGGUAAUUCCAGCUCCAAUAGCGUAUAUUAAAGUUGUUGCAGUUAAAAAGCUCGUAGUUGGAUUUCUGUUAAUAAUUUAUAUAAAAUAUUUUGAUGAAUAUUUAUAUAAUAUUAACAUAAUCAUAUUACUAUUUUUUUUUUUAGUAUAUGAAAUUUUACUUUGAGAAAAUUAGAGUGCUUAAAGCAGGCAUAUGCCUUGAAUACUCCAGCAUGGAAUAAUAUUAAAGAUUUUUAUCUUUUUUAUUGGUUCUAAGAUAAGAAUAAUGAUUAAUAGGGACAGUUGGGGGCAUUUGUAUUUAACAGUCAGAGGUGAAAUUCUUAGAUUUGUUAAAGACAAACUAAUGCGAAAGCAUUUGCCAAGGAUGUUUUCAUUAAUCAAGAACGAAAGUUAGGGGAUCGAAGACGAUCAGAUACCGUCGUAGUCUUAACCAUAAACUAUGCCAACUAGAGAUUGGAGGUUGUU